UCCAACAUGCGCGCCAACGAUAUGGUACCAUAACUGAGUUUACAAAACCCCGGGUAUUUUAUUUCAUAUUAUUUUAAGAGUCACCAGGACAUUUCAAAAGGGUGAUUGCCGGUUUAUAUUUUUGUGUCAAUAAAUGCUGCUGCAUUGUAUGUUGUGGGUUUAAAGGGGACAUAUUAUGCUCCUUUUCAACAAGUUUGAAUAAGUCUCAGAGGUCCCCAAAACAUGUCUUUGAAGCUUCUUGCUAAAAAAUCAACUUCGAUCCUAUAUUUCAGCAUGCCUGUAAACCCCUCUUUUUCAGCCCUGUUCAGAACAGGCUGUUUCUGUGUCUGUAGCUUUAAAUGCAAAUGAGCUGUGCCUGACCACGCCCCUCCUCGGAAGGGGAUGCCGUUUGGGCUUCUAGCUCCAUGCUCUAAUGUUUACGGUGACCGUGACCGGCGACCUGGCGUCGGUAGCGAUUUGGUUCAACCACACGACUUUUAUCCAGAAUCUGACCCAGAGGGAGAGGCUGCUGAAGAAGUUCAAACUCUACAACUGCAGCAGGACGUUUCUGAAUGGUGCUCCUGUGGAAACUGUGCAACCAUGCCCACAGAAGCUGAGAAUAUCUGCUGCUAGGAGAUACCACAGGUUACCAGAUGGCUAUGGGAGAUCGAGGAAGAUUUACCAUGUAUGGUAGACCGUCCUGGGUUGGAGCCGCUCUGCCUCAAUGUGUACUCCCUCCAGAAUGCCUGCAACAUGUACCGCACUGACUAUGGUCCUUUACUGUUGAGAGGAAUACACCAGUACGUUUUGCUUCUUUGUAAAAACAUAGUUUCAAUCUGAAUAAAAGAUGUUAGGCAGUCUUGUUUUACUUCAGUGCACAUAAUUUUACAAUGGUAAUAACACACCACAAAUGGAGUAACACACCCUCAAAUAAAUUAGUUUAGCUGCUCUUUGAUUUGUAAAGUUCAUCUAUCAGCAGAUAGUGUGCAUAUAAUAUAUGAAUUCAGAGGAGUCAUUUCUUUAGUAACAAUCAAGCAUUUAUUUACAUCAAAUGAGGGACGUAUAAUCAGUGAUAAUAAAAAAAACUGUAGGAUUCACUGGAUCCAUAAAAAAAAAAAAAAUUGUGAGACACAUCAUAGAUAUAUAUUUGCAAGACUAAAUGCCCUGUCCAGUUGUUUUAGUCGGUGCAGGUAUCUAGCCUAUAGGAGCUUCGUGGGCUUGUGCUGGGGCUUCCUUGGUCGCAGAAUCUGGGUCGUCAUUCCAGCCUGCGUGGUCCUACGCAUCCAUGCCGAGUUUCCUGACGCCACAUGCCAGUACGUGGGUUUUAGACUGCCCCAUGAUAGAACCGGGACACAUAGCUGGAUAUGACCUCCUCCUUCUCCUCUCAGGCCGCUCGAACUGUGCAGUGAGGUCCUCUGGGAUGGGGAUGGCCAAAGCAGCUUCUGUGUAUGGUCCCAGGUCAACAAAGACUUUUUCAAAUAUGAGGUCCACCAUAUUCCCUGUAAGAUUUUGUUUACAUUUUUCACUUUUCUUUGUUAUUUUUUUAACAAAACAAUGACUGAAAGUCUGUUUCUAACUACCUCCUGACAUUUUCUUUACUGCAUUUUGUUGUAGAUGGAACUGUCAUAACAUUAUACAUGCAAUACUUAAUACAAUGUGUACAAAACAUUUUUUGGUUGAAAAAUAAAAUAA
Seriola aureovittata is the source of this 1671-nucleotide long non-coding RNA. RefSeq lists it as uncharacterized. The transcript has 3 exons. The record is from RefSeq and is a predicted model, not a curated record. Lineage: Eukaryota; Metazoa; Chordata; Actinopteri; Carangiformes; Carangidae.